GGGCGGUUAGCUCAGUGGUAGAGCGCUUCGUUCACACCGAAGAGGUCGCUGGUUCGAGUCCAGCACCGCCCACCA
This 75-nucleotide transfer RNA is filed under the name Pseudomonadota bacterium. RNAcentral describes it as "tRNA-Val". It matches the Rfam family "tRNA". From Rfam's summary of the family: Transfer RNA (tRNA) molecules are approximately 80 nucleotides in length. The record is from RNAcentral. Lineage: Bacteria; Pseudomonadati; Pseudomonadota. RNAcentral also lists the same sequence under 1 other name.